CGUAGGGUGCGAGCGUUGUCCGGAAUUAUUGGGCGUAAAGAGCUUGUAGGCGGUUUGUCGCGUCUGCCGUGAAAAUCCGGGGCUCAACCCCGGACUUGCGGUGGGUACGGGCAGACUAGAGUGUGGUAGGGGAGACUGGAAUUCCUGGUGUAGCGGUGAAAUGCGCAGAUAUCAGGAGGAACACCGAUGGCGAAGGCAGGUCUCUGGGCCACUACUGACGCUGAGAAGCGAAAGCGUGGGGAGCGAACAGGAUUAGAUACCCUGGUAGUCCACGCCGUAAACGUUGGGAACUAGGUGUGGGUCUCAUUCCACGAGAUCCGUGCCGCAGCUAACGCAUUAAGUUCCCCGCCUGGGGAGUACGGCCGCAAGGCUA
This 373-nucleotide ribosomal RNA is filed under the name uncultured organism. Its description in RNAcentral is "bacterial SSU rRNA". It matches the Rfam family "Bacterial small subunit ribosomal RNA", at positions 526 to 896 of the family's 1533-position model. The record is from RNAcentral.